UGGGGAAUAUUGCACAAUGGAGGGAACUCUGAUGCAGCGACGCCGCGUGAACGAAGAAGGCUUUCGAGUCGUAAAGUUCUUUUAUAUGGGAAGAUAAUGACGGUACCAUAAGAAAAAGCCCCGGCUAACUACGUGCCAGCAGCCGCGGUAAUACGUAGGGGGCUAGCGUUGUCCGGAAUCACUGGGCGUAAAGGGUUCGCAGGCGGAAAUGCAAGUCAGGUGUAAAAGGCAGUAGCUUAACUACUGUAAGCAUUUGAAACUGCAUAUCUUGAGAAGAGUAGAGGUAAGUGGAAUUUUUAGUGUAGCGGUGAAAUGCGUAGAUAUUAGGAAGAAUACCGGUGGCGAAGGCGACUUGCUGGACACAAACUGACGCUGAGGAACGAAAGCGUGGGUAGCAAACAGG
RNAcentral lists this ribosomal RNA (403 nucleotides) under Fusobacteriota bacterium. RNAcentral describes it as "Fusobacteria bacterium partial 16S ribosomal RNA". It matches the Rfam family "Bacterial small subunit ribosomal RNA", at positions 355 to 776 of the family's 1533-position model. Lineage: Bacteria; Fusobacteriati; Fusobacteriota. The record is from RNAcentral.